Molecule: non-coding RNA, 237 nt
Organism: Pelobates cultripes (western spadefoot toad)
Lineage: Eukaryota; Metazoa; Chordata; Amphibia; Anura; Pelobatidae
Source: the annotation of a GenBank genome assembly
GUUUGAAUUUACCUAAAAUCAAUUUGAAUUCACACUUAAACUAGUUGUUACCAAAACAACUUUAGCUAAUAGAACCAGUUUUGCUGUAUAGAUAAUGCUCAUGCAGUCUCACUGUUCAAUUCUCUGACAUGUAGGAGUCACUUUGUUUGUGCAGCCCUAGUGCAAAGCCUUCCCAAUAGCUUGCUAGUCCUUGCAGGAGUCUACUGUAUGUGAUCAAGGUUCAAUUUACAAAGGAGG